This 321-nucleotide ribosomal RNA is filed under the name uncultured Chloroflexota bacterium. Its description in RNAcentral is "bacterial SSU rRNA". It matches the Rfam family "Bacterial small subunit ribosomal RNA", at positions 28 to 351 of the family's 1533-position model. The record is from RNAcentral. Lineage: Bacteria; Bacillati; Chloroflexota.
GAUGAACGCUGGCGGCGUGCUUAAUACAUGCAAGUCGGACGGAGAUUGCAGCGAUGUAAUCUUAGUGGCGAACGGGUGAGUAACGCGUUGGUGACCUGCCCCAAAGCGUGGGAUAACAGUUCGAAAGGACUGCUAAUACCGCAUGAAGUUACAGGCGUUAGAGAACUGUAACGAAAGGUGCAAACCGCUAUGGGAGGGGCCUGCGUCCCAUCAGCUAGUUGGUAGGGUAAAGGCCUACCAAGGCGACGACGGGUAGGGGGCCUGAGAGGGUGACCCCCCACACUGGCACUGAAACACGGGCCAGACACCUACGGGAGGCAG